This 510-nucleotide ribosomal RNA is filed under the name uncultured bacterium. RNAcentral's name for it is "partial 16S ribosomal RNA". It matches the Rfam family "Bacterial small subunit ribosomal RNA", at positions 28 to 507 of the family's 1533-position model. The record is from RNAcentral.
GACGAACGCUGGCGGCGUGCUUAACACAUGCAAGUCGAACGAAGAGCGAUGGAAGCUUGCUUCUAUCAAUCUUAGUGGCGAACGGGUGAGUAACGCGUAAUCAACCUGCCCUUCAGAGGGGGACAACAGUUGGAAACGACUGCUAAUACCGCAUACGAUCUAACCUCGGCAUCGAGGAUGGAUGAAAGGUGGCCUCUAUUUAUAAGCUAUCACUGAAGGAGGGGAUUGCGUCUGAUUAGCUAGUUGGAGGGGUAACGGCCCACCAAGGCGAUGAUCAGUAGCCGGUCUGAGAGGAUGAACGGCCACAUUGGGACUGAGACACGGCCCAGACUCCUACGGGAGGCAGCAGUGGGGAAUCUUCCGCAAUGGACGAAAGUCUGACGGAGCAACGCCGCGUGAGUGAUGACGGCCGUCGGGUUGUAAAGCUCUGUUAAUCGGGACGAAAGGCCUUCUUGCGAAUAGUUAGAAGGAUUGACGGUACCGGAAUAGAAAGCCACGGCUAACUACGUG